GAUGAAGAACGCAGCGAAAUGCGAUACGUAAUGUGAAUUGCAGAAUUCAGUGAAUCAUCGAAUCUUUGAACGCACAUUGCGCCUGCCAGCACUCUGGCAGGCAUGCCUGUUCGAGCGUCAUUUCAACCAUCAAGCCCUAGGCUUGCGUUGGAGCCCUGCGGCUGCCGCAGGCCCCUAAAAGCAGUGGCGGGCUCGCUAUCACACCGAGUGCAGUAGAUUACUCUUCGCUCAGGGCGUGUGGCGGGUUCCAGCCGUGAAACCCCCUACUUCUCAAGGUUGACCUCGGAUCAGGUAGGAAUACCCGCUGAACUUAAGCAUAUCAAUAAGCGGUGGA
This 334-nucleotide unclassified non-coding RNA is filed under the name soil metagenome. Its description in RNAcentral is "partial contains 5.8S ribosomal RNA, internal transcribed spacer 2, and large subunit ribosomal RNA". The stretch from base 1 to 120 matches the Rfam family "5.8S ribosomal RNA", at positions 35 to 154 of the family's 154-position model. The record is from RNAcentral.